GACGAACGCUGGCGGCGUGCUUAACACAUGCAAGUCGAACGGUGAAGCGCCUUCCUUUUUGGUGGGUGUGGAUGAGUGGCGAACGGGUGAGUAACACGUGAGUAACCUGCCCCCUUCUUCUGGAUAACCGCAUGAAAGUGUGGCUAAUACGGGAUAUUCUGGGUCUGUCGCAUGAUGGGUCUGGGAAAGAUAUUGUUUCGGUGGGGGAUGGGCUCGCGGCCUAUCAGCUUGUUGGUGGGGUGAUGGCCUACCAAGGCGGUGACGGGUAGCCGGCCUGAGAGGGUGGACGGUCACACUGGGACUGAGACACGGCCAAGACUCCUACGGGGGGCAGCAGUGGGGAAUAUUGCACAGUGGGCGCAAGCCUGAUGCAGCGACGCCGCGUGAGGGAUGGAGGCCUUCGGGUUGUGAACCUCUUUCGCCAGUGAAGCAGGCCUGCCUCGUUUGUGGGUGGGUUGACGGUAGCUGGAUAAGAAGCGCCGGCUAACUACGUG
RNAcentral lists this ribosomal RNA (494 nucleotides) under uncultured bacterium. RNAcentral describes it as "partial 16S ribosomal RNA". It matches the Rfam family "Bacterial small subunit ribosomal RNA", at positions 28 to 507 of the family's 1533-position model. The record is from RNAcentral.